Molecule: ribosomal RNA, 492 nt
Filed under: uncultured bacterium
Lineage: Bacteria
Description: partial 16S ribosomal RNA
Rfam family: Bacterial small subunit ribosomal RNA
Source: RNAcentral
AGUGAACGCUGGCGGUAGGCCUAACACAUGCAAGUCGAACGGCAGCACAGUAAGAGCUUGCUCUUACGGGUGGCGAGUGGCGGACGGGUGAGGAAUACAUCGGAAUCUACUUUUUCGUGGGGGAUAACGUAGGGAAACUUACGCUAAUACCGCAUACGACCUACGGGUGAAAGCAGGGGAUCUUCGGACCUUGCGCGAUUGAAUGAGCCGAUGUCGGAUUGGCUAGUUGGCGGGGUAAAGGCCCACCAAGGCGACGAUCCGUAGCUGGUCUGAGAGGAUGAUCAGCCACACUGGAACUGAGACACGGUCCAGACUCCUACGGGAGGCAGCCGUGGGGAAUAUUGGACAAUGGGCGCAAGCCUGAUCCAGCCAUACCGCGUGGGUGAAGAAGGCCUUCGGGUUGUAAAGCCCUUUUGUUGGGAAAGAAAAGCAGCAGGUUAAUACCCCGCUGUUCUGACGGUACCCAAAGAAUAAGCACCGGCUAACUUCGUG